RNAcentral lists this ribosomal RNA (490 nucleotides) under uncultured bacterium. RNAcentral describes it as "partial 16S ribosomal RNA". It matches the Rfam family "Bacterial small subunit ribosomal RNA", at positions 30 to 507 of the family's 1533-position model. The record is from RNAcentral.
AUUGAACGCUGGCGGCAGGCCUAACACAUGCAAGUCGAACGGUAACAGGAAGCAGCUUGCUGCUUCGCUGACGAGUGGCGGACGGGUGAGUAAUGUCUGGGAAACUGCCUGAUGGAGGGGGAUAACUACUGGAAACGGUAGCUAAUACCGCAUAACGUCGCAAGACCAAAGAGGGGGACCUUAGGGCCUCUUGCCAUCGGAUGUGCCCAGAUGGGAUUAGCUAGUAGGUGGGGUAAAGGCUCACCUAGGCGACGAUCCCUAGCUGGUCUGAGAGGAUGACCAGCCACACUGGAACUGAGACACGGUCCAGACUCCUACGGGAGGCAGCAGUGGGGAAUAUUGCACAAUGGGCGCAAGCCUGAUGCAGCCAUGCCGCGUGUAUGAAGAAGGCCUUCGGGUUGUAAAGUACUUUCAGCGGGGAGGAAGGGAGUAAAGUUAAUACCUUUGCCCAUUGACGUUACCCGCAGAAGAAGCACCGGCUAACUCCGUG